This 497-nucleotide ribosomal RNA is filed under the name uncultured bacterium. RNAcentral describes it as "partial 16S ribosomal RNA". It matches the Rfam family "Bacterial small subunit ribosomal RNA", at positions 28 to 507 of the family's 1533-position model. The record is from RNAcentral.
GGUGAACGCUGGCGGCGGGCCUAAUACAUGCAAGUCGAGCGAACAGACGAGGAGCUUGCUCCUUUGCCGUUAGCGGCGGACGGGCGGGUAAGAAGUAGAUCACAUUCUUCUAAGACUGGGAUAAUUACGGGAAAAAGGUGACAAUAAUGGAUCAUAUAUUGUACCGCAUGGAUCAAUAGUGAUAGACAGCUUUGGCGUCACUUAUAGACGGAUCCGCGUUGGAUUAGCGAGUUGGUAAGGUAACAGCAUACCAACGCAACGAUGCGUAGCCGAGCUGAGAGGGUGAUCCGCCACACUGGAACUGAGGCACGGUCCAGACUCCUACGGGAGGCAGCAGUAGGGAAUCUUCCGCAAUUGGCGAAAGCUUGACGGAGCAACGCCGCGUGAGUGAUGAAGGUCUUCGGAUCUUAAAACUCUUUUAUUAGGGAAGAACAAGUGUGUAAUUAACUAUGCACGGCUUUACGGGACCUAAUCAGAUAGCCACGGCUAACUACGUG